AUACGUAGGGUGCAAGCGUUAAUCGGAAUUACUGGGCGUAAAGCGUGCGCAGGCGGUUUUGUAAGACAGAGGUGAAAUCCCCGGGCUCAACCUGGGAACUGCCUUUUGGACUGCAAGGCUAGAGUACGGCAGAGGGGGGUGGAAUUCCGCGUGUAGCAGUGAAAUGCGUAGAUAUGCGGAGGAAAACCGAUGGCGAAGGCAAUCCCCUGGGCAUGUGCUGACGCUCAUGCACGAAAGCGUGGGGAGCAAACAGGAGUAGAUACCCUUGUAGUCCGCGCCCUAAACGAUGUCAACUGAUUGUUGGGUCUUCAGUGACUCAGUAACGAAGCUAACGCGUGAAGUUGACCGCCUGGGGAGUACGGCCGCAAGGUUGAAACUCAAAUGAAUUGGCGGGU
Molecule: ribosomal RNA, 395 nt
Filed under: uncultured bacterium
Lineage: Bacteria
Description: partial 16S ribosomal RNA
Rfam family: Bacterial small subunit ribosomal RNA
Source: RNAcentral